Loxodonta africana (African savanna elephant) is the source of this 103-nucleotide small nuclear RNA. NCBI's taxonomy places the organism in Eukaryota, Metazoa, Chordata, Mammalia, Proboscidea, Elephantidae. The record is from Ensembl.
UUGCUUUGGCAGCAAAUAUACUAAAGUUGAAAUAAUACAGAGAUGAUUAGCACAGACCCUGUGCAAAGAUGACACACAAAUUCAUAAAGUAUUCAUAUUUUUC